Molecule: long non-coding RNA, 1591 nt
Organism: Oncorhynchus keta (chum salmon)
Lineage: Eukaryota; Metazoa; Chordata; Actinopteri; Salmoniformes; Salmonidae
Exons: 3
Source: RefSeq, a predicted model, not a curated record
UCCAGAUAGACCAGAAUAAGCUGAUCAGGGUGGUAUUGAAGGUGAGUCCACGUACUCCCAUAGGUAGGAGCUGCUUUCAGGAACUAAACUGGCUGCCUGUUGAGGCUGAGGUGUUCCAGAUUAGACUGGGUUUGGUUUACAGGAGUAUUUAUGGUUCUGCCUGUUGAGGCUGAGGUGUUCCAGAUUAGACUCGGUUUGGUUUACAGGAGUAUUUAUGGUUCUGCCUGUUGAGGCUGAGGUGUUCCAGAUUAGACUCGGUUUGGUUUACAGGAGUAUUUAUGGGUCUGCCUGUUGAGGCUGAGGUGUUCCAGAUUAGACUCGGUUUGGUUUACAGGAGUAUUUAUGGGUCUGCCUGUUGAGGCUGAGGUGUUCCAGAUUAGACUCGGUUUGGUUUACAGGAGUAUUUAUGGGUCUGCCUUUUGAGGUGUUCCAGAUUAGACUCGGUUUGGUUUACAGGAGUAUUUAUGGUUCUGCCUGUUGAGGCUGAGGUGUUCCAGAUUAGACUGGGUUUGGUUUACAGGAGUAUUUAUGGUUCUGCCAGUUGAGGCUGAGGUGUUCCAGAUUAGACUCGGUUUGGUUUACAGGAGUAUUUAUGGGUCUGCCUGUUGAGGCUGAGGUGUUCCAGAUUAGACUCGGUUUGGUUUACAGGAGUAUUUAUGGGUCUGCCUGUUGAGGCUGAGGUGUUCCAGAUUAGACUGGGUUUGGUUUACAGGAAUAUUUAUGGGUCUGCCUGUUGAGGCUGAGGUGUUCCAGAUUAGACUCGGUUUGGUUUACAGGAGUAUUUAUGGGUCUGCCUGUUGAGGCUGAGGUGUUCCAGAUUAGACUGGGUUUGGUUUACAGGAAUAUUUAUGGGUCUGCCUGUUGAGGCUGAGGUGUUCCAGAUUAGACUCGGUUUGGUUUACAGGAGUAUUUAUGGGUCUGCCUGUUGAGGCUGAGGUGUUCCAGAUUAGACUCGGUUUGGUUUACAGGAGUAUUUAUGGUUCUGCCUGUUGAGGCUGAGGUGUUCCAGAUUAGACUGGGUUUGGUUUACAGGAGUAUUUAUGGUUAUGCCUGUUGAGGCUGAGGUGUUCCAGAUUAGACUGGGUUUGGUUUACAGGAAUAUUUAUGGUCCUGCUCCCAGAUAUCUAAGUGAUUACUUUCCUUGUGUUAGGGAUGCACAUAAUCACAGCACCAGAUCAGGUGUUGUUAAUGUGUGCUUCUACAGGUUCAGGAGUAAUGCUGGGAAAGGUACUUUCUUGUAUACUGGAGCCUCAGAAUGAAAUGAGUUGCCUCUGCCCACAAAAACGACGUCCUCUCUGGGCAGCUUUAAAAAUAAAGUAAAAAUAUGUUUGAUGUCUUCUGUGCCCAUAUGAAUAACCCCUAUGAUGAAACGACAAUGAUGAGAUAGAUGUUCUUCUUCUUUGUUUUUAUGUUUUAUUAUCUCAAUACCACACUGUGUUUAUCUGUGUUCAAUGUUGUCUAGCCAUCUUGUCUCAAGAGGACCACAAUGGAAAUAAGUCCCAGACUUUAUUGUGUGUCAUCCUCCAUGAUUUUACUCAAGUGCAUGUAUGGCUUUUUAAGUUUUAUGUGUGCUUGUUUUUUAAAAUGGUCG